UACGUAGGGGGCAAGCGUUGUCCGGAAUCAUUGGGCGUAAAGCGCGCGUAGGCGGCCCGGUAAGUCCGUUGUGAAAGUCAAAGGCUCAACCUUUGAACGCCGAUGGAUACUGCCGGGCUAGAGUCCGGAAGAGGCGAGUGGAAUUCCUGGUGUAGCGGUGGAACGCGCAGAUAUCAGGAGGAACACCAAUAGCGAAGGCAGCUCGCUGGGACGGUACUGACGCUGAGGCGCGAAAGCGUGGGGAGCGAACAGG
Molecule: ribosomal RNA, 253 nt
Filed under: uncultured bacterium
Lineage: Bacteria
Description: partial 16S ribosomal RNA
Rfam family: Bacterial small subunit ribosomal RNA
Source: RNAcentral